RNAcentral lists this ribosomal RNA (468 nucleotides) under uncultured bacterium. RNAcentral's name for it is "partial 16S ribosomal RNA". It matches the Rfam family "Bacterial small subunit ribosomal RNA", at positions 28 to 507 of the family's 1533-position model. The record is from RNAcentral.
GACGAACGCUGGCGGCGUGCUUAACACAUGCAAGUCGAACGGAAAGGCCCUGCUUUUGUGGGGUGCUCGAGUGGCGAACGGGGGAGUAACACGUGAGUAACCUGCCCUUGACUUUGGGAUAACUUCAGGAAACUGGGGCUAAUACCGGAUAGGAGCUCCUGCUGCAUGGUGGGGGUUGGAAAGUUUCGGCGGUUGGGGAUGGACUCGCGGCUUAUCAGCUUGUUGGUGGGGUAGUGGCUUACCAAGGCUUUGACGGGUAGCCGGCCUGAGAGGGUGACCGGGCACAUUGGGCCUGAGAUACGGCCCAGACUCCUACGGGAGGCAACAGUGGGAAAUAUUGCACAGUGGGCCGACGCCUGAUACAGCAGCGCCGCGUGCGGAAUGACCGCCUUCGGGUUGUAAACCGCUUUCGCCUGUGACGAAGCGUGAGUGACGGUAAUGGGUAAAGAAGCACCGGCUAACUACGUG